Homo sapiens (human) is the source of this 1871-nucleotide long non-coding RNA. The record is from Ensembl. Lineage: Eukaryota; Metazoa; Chordata; Mammalia; Primates; Hominidae.
GAAGAGCCGAGUUGCCCCAGCCCCGCACCCCCAGCCCCAGCCCCGCGUGCAGCUCGCACCCCUUCCCACGCCUGUUCGGGGGAGAGCCCCGGGCCUGGAGUGGGAAGCCUGGCUCCAGCUCUGGUUACCUGCAGUGACUCCCCAGGCCGUUUAGGCGAGUCCAUUGGGCCGCCUCUGCCUCGGUUUCCCCACCUAACCACGGAAGGUGCUCCUCCCUUCCAGGCAUCUGUGGUCUUCGAGCUCCACGCGGGAGAGGCGCCGGUCUGGCACCUCCUGCCCAGGGUCGGCGCCUCCUGGCUCUCGGGGAGGGGGGCAUCCUCCAUCCCCUGCACCUGCCUCGAGAGGAACCAGGGACAGAGCACCCCCACCCCCACCAGGAGCUCCGGAAAAACGGCUUCAGAAGAGCAAAUAUACACACACACCCACCUCCCGCCCCAAACAUCCCCGAAGAAAGGUAACCACAGAAACAGCCAGAAAUGUGGAGCUGGGCGAUCGUAUGAGGCUGAGACAAAACUGUCUUUCUAGCGUCUCUAGGGGAGAGCUUGAAUCCCUCCUUCCACUCCUCCUCCACGGAAAACAGAGUGAACUCCUGCUACAGAGGCCGCCAGAGCAACAUGCAAGACCAGCUUUGAGGGGAGCGGGCACAGGGCCUUGCAGGGAAGGUGGGCCGAGCCCAGACCCCUCAUUCUUACUUGGCUCUGAAGGCGGAAAGGCAAAGCUAGACCUCGAGGAAGUUCCCCUCCCUGUGGGCCCUACAGUGAAGAUUACAUGAAGGCAUGUGGGCGGUGGACCAGAGUGCACCGACUGAUGAAGGCGGCCCGGUACCCGCGGGUGCCAUGCCUCCUUCUUAGCCAAGGCCACUCUAGCUCCCCGUGAAGUAUCCAGGUAGAAGGCUGGUGGGGUUACAGGAGUGUAUCUCUCUCAGAUGAGAUACAAGUUGGUCCCUUCCCUUGCGUCCCUCCUGUUCCUUCAAGAGGAGGACUGUCUACCCACCCCGAAGCUUCAUGGAGAGAGAGCACACCGUCGUUAUUCAAUAUGUAGUUUUGAAUUUAACUAGAGCAAAGAAGAAAGCAAAUUCAGUCACAUCAUGGCCCAGAAUGGCUGCAAAACCUCUAGCAUUUACUUCCUUAUUCCAGGUGGAAGGAAGAAGAAAAGGGAAAAGGGCUGUCCCCAUCCUUCUAAGGAGAUGGUGCAGUGGCUCACCUUUGGGAGGCCGAGGCAGGCAGAUCACUUGAGCUCAGCAGUUUGAGACCAGCCUGGGUAACAUAGUGAAACCCCAUCUCUACAGAAAUUAAAAAAUUAGCCAGACAUGGCGGCGCACACCUGUGGUCCCAGCUACUCAGGAGGCUGCGGCAGAAGUAUGCCUUGAGCCAAAGAGGCAGAGAUUGCAGUGAGCCAAGAUCAUGCUACUGCACUCCAGCCUGGGCAACGAAGCAAGACUGUCUCAGGAAAAAAAAAAAAAAUGAUCAUUUUUCUCUGUCCACUUGGUGGGUCAACUGAAUGGUAUUCCUGUGUCUUCUACUCUCCUCCCACUUGGAAACCCACUGAGAUGCUCUUCCGAAGGCCAGUGCAUGCUGGGCCACACGAGACAGAGCUCAGGCUGGAGGAGCCUCAUACCCGCCCCUCUAGAUGCUUAUAAAAAUACUUCCCACCUUUGAAUCAAGUGGAAAAUGAGGCUCUCCAGUCAAAAGCCGCGACUGUAUAGAAAGCCCUGAGUUGCCCAAUCUGUUCACAUGGCAUCACCAACCUCUGUGUCAUCAUCAAGCUGUCCAGGGGACUCGAUGGCCACCUGGCCAGGAACUGCGGGCUGAUUGGAAGCUGUUGUUCCCAUUGUAUAAUCACACACAUCAUAAAAUAAUCAGUCUUGUCUC